GACGAACGCUGGCGGCGUGCUUAACACAUGCAAGUCGAGCGGUAAGGCCCUUUCGGGGGGUACACGAGCGGCGAACGGGUGAGUAACACGUGGGUGACCUGCCUUUAGCUCUGGGAUAAGCCUGGGGAAACUGGGUCUAAUACCGGAUAUGACCCUAUGGCGCAUGUUGUGGGGUGGAAAGCCUUGUGCGGCUAGGGAUCGGGCCCGCGGCCUAUCAGCUUGUUGGUGGGGUGAUGGCCACCAAGGCGACGACGGGUAGCCGGCCUGAGAGGGCGACCGGCCACACUGGGACUGAGACACGGCCCAGACUCCUACGGGAGGCAGCAGUGGGGAAUCUUGCGCAAUGGGCGAAAGCCUGACGCAGCGACGCCGCGUGAGGGAUGAC
RNAcentral lists this ribosomal RNA (385 nucleotides) under uncultured bacterium. RNAcentral describes it as "bacterial SSU rRNA". It matches the Rfam family "Bacterial small subunit ribosomal RNA", at positions 28 to 412 of the family's 1533-position model. The record is from RNAcentral.